AGCCUGAACGCUGGCGGCGUGGCUAAGACAUGCAAGUCGAACGGUGUAGCAAUACACAGUGGCGAACGGGUGAUUAAUGUAUCGCUAACGUACCCUUAUGUCAGGGAUAGCCGGGGGAAACUCCGGGUAAUACCUGAUGAAAUUCCUUUUUCGCAUGGAAAAGGACUCAAAGGAGCAAUCCGCAAAAGGAGCGGGCGAUAUCGUAUCAGCUAGUUGGUGAGGUAACGGCUCACCAAGGCGACGACGCGUAGCCGGGCUGAGAGGUCGGCCGGCCACAUUGGGACUGAGACACUGCCCAGACUCCUACGGGGGGCUGCAGUAACGAAUCUUCCGCAAUGCACGCAAGUGUGACGGAGCGACGCCGCGUGUGGGACGAAGUCCUUCGGGAUGUAAACCACUGUCAGGGGUAAGAAAGUUCUGAUCUACCCCAGAGGAGGGCACGGCUAACUCUGCGCCAGCAGCCGC
Molecule: ribosomal RNA, 465 nt
Filed under: uncultured bacterium
Lineage: Bacteria
Description: SSU rRNA
Rfam family: Bacterial small subunit ribosomal RNA
Source: RNAcentral